UUCAUUUCGGACUCAGACAGGCUUAGUAAAAUGCUUUGAGAGUGAAGUCUGAGCUGUAGCUUAGCGUUUCGAGAGCAGACUGGAGCGGACAACUCGGCCAAGAGUAGAUGAGCGAUUAUAUCUUAAAGGGAGGGGCUUGAACUGGUAUUCAGUUUGGUUUUAUCAUUGAGUGUUGUGGAGGACUGACUGCAGACUGGCUCUCUCUCCUCUCCUCUCACUCGACUCAAGAGCUCUACUUUGUCCGGUUAAGAUCCACAGGGCACAAUCAUGGAGGAAAUGGACUUUGAGCGUCGCCGGGAGCUGCGGAGGCAGAAACGGGAGGAGAUGCGCCUGGAGGCUGAACGGUUGGCGAGAAAUGAUGAUGAUGAAGAAGAGGCGGCCCGCGAGAGGAGGCGCAGGGCACGGCAGGAGAGGCUGAGGAGCAGGGACAGCGAGGAGCCCAGCGGACAGCCAGACAGUUUGGUCAUGACCAACAGCCACAGUGUGACAGAGACAGUGUCUGUGAGCAGCUCUUAUGGAGGCGUUGGAGACGAAGAUGACCAAGCCCUGCUGGACCGCAUGGCCAAACGCGAGGAGAGACGGCAAAGACGCAUGAAAGAGGCACUGGAGAGACAGAGCCAGCCAGACCCCACCGCGACAGAGGACAACGGCAGCAUCGCCACGGAGAAAAACAACGAGGAAGAGGAGAGGCCCUCCUCCUGGCGUAGGGGUCGUUACCGUGAUAAUGAGGAAGAAGAGGAGAAGACAUUCACGUACAGCUCAAGGAGAGAGGAGACGGAGCGAGAGGAGCCGAGAGAGGAAGAGGAGGCUGCUCCUGACGGUGGAGAGGAAGCAGAGGAGGGUGUAGAUGAGGAGGAGGAGGAGGAGGAGGAGCAGAAAGUGGAAGUGGAAGAGGACAAACCAAGAAGGUCUUACUUGAGAGAAGAGGAAUCAACUGAAGAGCCUAAAACUCAAAACAAGGAGCUUGCUGAAGAAGAAACACAUUCAGUAGUCAGUGAAAGUUCAAAUCAGGCCAAGUCAGCAAAUUCAGAGGCUGAGGAGUAUGCAGUAGAAUCAGGGGAGGCUGAAGAGAUACCUGAGGAUGAUAAUGUAGAUAAUUCAUCAGAGAACAAGCCUAUGACACUCAUAAAUGAAGAGGACAAUGAAGUAUCUGAGAUACUGCACUCAGAGGAUUAUGAGGUGGAUGAGAGAGGCGGGGCCAGGGAGGAGAGGGAGGAGCAGAGGAAGCAGAACGGAGGGUUUCAUGAGGAAGCGGCUCCCAAACAACACAGGAAACCUGAGAGGACCGUCAGUCGCGGCAGUGUGCGUUCCCCCGAGGUGUCCGCGGGCGACGACCAGGACGACGCUGCCCGCCUAGAGGCAGAGCGCAAGCUGGAGGAGCUUAAACGCCGCCGCGACGACGCAGAGAGUGAGGAGUUUGAGAGGAUGAGGCAGAAGCAGCAGGAGGCCGAAGCCGAGCUGGAGGAGCUGAAGAGGAAGAGGGAGGAGAGAAGGAAGGUGCUGGAGGAGGAAGAGAGGCAGAAGAAGCAGGAAGAGGCAGAGAGGAAAGCCAAAGAGGAGGAGGAGAAGAGGAAGAUGAAGGAGGAGAUCGAAAGGAGGAGAGCAGAGGCAGCCGAGAAGAGACAGAAGGUGGAGGACACUAUGGAUGGGGAGGAUAAACCCUUCAAGUGUGUCAGCCCCCGAGGCUCCUCCCUGAAGAUCGGAGAGCGGGCAGAGUUCCUCAACAAGUCGGCACAGAAAAGCAGCUCAGUGAAGAUGUCUCAUUCUCCUGUGGUGUCCAAGAUAGACAACAGGCUGGAGCAGUACACCUCAGCUGCUCAGCAGAGAGAGAACAAGGAGUCUCGUUCCCCUCGCUCAGGAGCGGUGGAUCUGCCCAUGGUCACCGACAGCAUACGAAACAUCAAGAGCAUGUGGGAGAAAGGCAACGUGUUCACCUCGCCUGGAAGUGGCGGGAGCACGUUCAAGGAAGCAGCUGUGAUGAAGACAGGCGUGGCAGGCCGCAUCAACGACUGGCUGAAUAAAACCCCGGAGAGCGGCAAAACGUCAGGAGGAAGGCCAACGGACCUGAAGCCUGUUGACGUCACCAACAAGAGGAGUCUAUGGGAAAACAAAGGCGCCUCUCCAACCAAGAACUCUCAUAGCUAGUUGACCUCACCAUUAAAUCUGGAAUAAGCCUGGAGAGGUGGCAGGCAGAGGAGAGACCAAAUCAGUCGCCAAUGGGAUGGGGCACUAAUGUCUUGAAGGAGCCACUGAAGACGGGGACCACGACAAUCCAAGACUCUUCCUUUGACUUUGUCUUAAGAACCAAAUAAUGACCACACUCCCAAGGGGGACCCCAAGAAAACGGAGGGACAGGAGAGACGCUGUCCAAGCACUGUACCCAAACAAGAUCAUAUUUUUGUACGGUUGCCACGUGUAGUGCCUUUGCACAAUGAUUUUUGCUUUCUAAAAGAAACGAAAUGCUGUGAAAUUUGGACAUUUGUAAUUACUGUUACUAAUUACUUCAUACAAUCCUGCCAGGAAGAAAAAAACUAAUUAAAUUUAGAUUUAUCUCUUGUACUCCAUGCCUACAGUUUUGAUAGAGACAGAGUAGAUGAGUUAAAAGUUUCCACAUUCCAAAGAGAUGGGUGAAAUCAGUUCUCUCCCUCACACAGAUCAUUUUCCAUCUCUUUUUUUUUUUAUUUAUAUUUAAAGCAAAAGCUUCACACAUUGCUAUUUUAUUCAACGUUCACCAGUUCAGGAUAGAAAUAUAAGCACUUCUAGAAUUUAGCUGAUUUCACUUUUAUUAUGUCUUACCAAUAGUGCAGCAUUGGUCUGAGUAAUAUAUGUUAGCACAUGUGAUGUUUUGAAUAUGACCUAUCAUACUGUAUCAUAUAUAACAUCUCUAUACUCCUAACAAAAGGUAUUUUUGCUUUUUUGUAUCCAGAAACUAUUCACCAAUGGGCAGUUAAUUUUGGAGGUGACAGGAGUGUUGAAUAUUCAGAAGGCCAUUAUGACUUUUAUUAUCCUUUAUGUCAUUUAAUUUAUGUGUUUUUAAUGUGUUUUUCUUUUCUAUUUCAAGCUGUUUUUGUAGCUUUUGUAUCUGUUCGAUCACUUUAAAAUCUUCAGACAUUCCUCUUAAAAAGCAGGUGCACAAGGUGCCUUCACUGCUCAAAAGCUGUAGGUUUUGUAAUGUAGGAAAUCGGCAAACCAGCCUUUUUUUUUUUUUUAAUCUACCUUUAACUUCUUUUUUGCCUCUAUGCACACUCUUAUGCUCAGCGAUCAUUUUCUAAUUGAGGGCAUACAAAGUAAAAUCAGGGUGCCUAAGUAUUUAGCAAGAUACAGUACAAGGAUAUUUACCACUAUGUAACUCUUCUGGCCUUAUGAUUGCAAUGACAACAUUUAUGACAGCUGAGGUACAGUACAUAAAAGCCUCAAAGCAACUCAGUAUGAUAUUAAGACUUGUGAUUUUCAUGUUUAUUUUUCACUAACAUGGUCUUAAGUAGCGCAUUCCCUUUCACUAGUUUUUGCGCGACACAAGCUUUGACAAGCACAUGAAUGGUUUGACAGGGCAUUAAAUUGAUCCAUGUUACUGCUCAAAAGUCUGACAAUCACAUUCCAUUGCUCCUGAAAAGAGCAGGGGGGCUUGACCAAAAUAUUUUUAAGCGUGAUUUAAUGUGACAUUUAUGUUUUUUAAUACAAUGGUUUCAUAAUGCCGUAUUGUUUUUUCUACAACCUUGUUUUUUUUAAUUCUUUUAUUUCCAUGUUUAACCAGACACUUGUUUGUGUAGCGAUAAGCCUAUGCAAAACACACUAUCUGUAGUCUCUCUAAACACUCCCAAUGUCAUACAAGUGGGCAGUUUCCAACUGGAUGGAUGUUUUAAACAUUGUACCCUUGACUCAACAACAGCAAUAAAGACAUUGAGGUAUUCCA
Molecule: RNA transcript, 3913 nt
Organism: Seriola aureovittata
Lineage: Eukaryota; Metazoa; Chordata; Actinopteri; Carangiformes; Carangidae
Gene: cald1a
Gene name: caldesmon 1a
Exons: 17
Source: RefSeq, a predicted model, not a curated record